AGUGAACGCUGGCGGUAGGCCUAACACAUGCAAGUCGAACGGCAGCACAGUAAGAGCUUGCUCUUACGGGUGGCGAGGGGCGGACGGGUGAGGGAUACAUCGGAAUCUACUUGUUCGUGGGGGAUAACGUAGGGAAACUUACGCUAAUACCUCAUACGACCUACGGGUGAAAGCAGGGGAUCUUCGUACCUCGCGCGAUUGAAUGAGCCGAUGUCGGAGUAGCUAGGGUGCGGGGUAAAGGCCCACCAAGGCGACGAUCCGGAGCUGGUAUGAGAGGAUGAGCUGCCACGCCGGAGCUGAGGGACGGUCCAGACGCGUACGGGAGGCAGCAGUGGGGAAUAUUGGACAAUGGGGGCAAGCAUAAUCCAGCAAUACCGCGUGGGUGAAGAAGGCCUUCUGUUUGUAAAGCCAUGUUGUUGGGAAAGAAAAGCAGCAGGUUAAUAGCACAAUGUUCUGACGGUACCCGAAGAAUAAGCAACGGCUAACUUCGUG
This 492-nucleotide ribosomal RNA is filed under the name uncultured bacterium. Its description in RNAcentral is "partial 16S ribosomal RNA". It matches the Rfam family "Bacterial small subunit ribosomal RNA", at positions 29 to 507 of the family's 1533-position model. The record is from RNAcentral.